UGGGGAAUCUUGCGCAAUGGGCGAAAGCCUGACGCAGCGACGCCGCGUGGGGGAGGACGGCCUUCGGGUUGUAAACCUCUUUCAGCCCUGACAAAGGUGAUGGUAGGGGCAGAAGAAGCGCCGGCUAACUACGUG
RNAcentral lists this ribosomal RNA (135 nucleotides) under uncultured Actinopolyspora sp. RNAcentral describes it as "partial 16S ribosomal RNA". It matches the Rfam family "Bacterial small subunit ribosomal RNA", at positions 355 to 507 of the family's 1533-position model. The record is from RNAcentral. Lineage: Bacteria; Bacillati; Actinomycetota; Actinomycetes; Actinopolysporales; Actinopolysporaceae.